UACAGAGGUGGCAAGCGUUGUUCGGAAUUACUGGGCGUAAAGGGCGCGUAGGCGGCCUUGUAAGUCCCGUGUGAAAUCCCUCGGCUCAACUGAGGAACUGCACGGGAAACUGCUUGGCUUGAGUUCGGGAGAGGGAAGCGGAAUUCCGGGUGUAGCGGUGAAAUGCGUAGAUAUCCGGAGGAACACCGGUGGCGAAGGCGGCUUCCUGGACCGACACUGACGCUGAGGCGCGAAAGCUAGGGGAGCAAACGGG
RNAcentral lists this ribosomal RNA (253 nucleotides) under uncultured bacterium. RNAcentral describes it as "partial 16S ribosomal RNA". It matches the Rfam family "Bacterial small subunit ribosomal RNA", at positions 524 to 776 of the family's 1533-position model. The record is from RNAcentral.